UUGGAUUUUAUAUAAUAUAAUUAGGACUAAAAACUUUGGCUAGUUCGUGCAAUUGGUAUAAUAUCUAUAAUUCAAAACUUAGUAUUAUUUAGAUUAUUGAGUAUGCUAAGUGUAUACAAAAUAUUGUGAUAAUCUAACAAUGUGGUUUAGAGAUAUCUGGUUUUUAGCACAAGAGGGUUUCAGAAGUUGGCAGUUUGGAAUUGACUAGGAUUUCUAUGAUAUCUUGAGAUCUACUAGUUGGAUCAAGGUGAAAUUUGAAAUGGUAUUGAAGGACUUGAAGAUCAAGCUACACACUAAUUUUAAGUUGAAGUUAAUAUUUAGAGAAGGAGAAAUCACUACU
RNAcentral lists this long non-coding RNA (340 nucleotides) under Physcomitrium patens. RNAcentral's name for it is "long non-coding RNA (PPAT_LNC011171)". Lineage: Eukaryota; Viridiplantae; Streptophyta; Bryopsida; Funariales; Funariaceae. The record is from RNAcentral.